Triticum dicoccoides is the source of this 513-nucleotide long non-coding RNA. RefSeq lists it as uncharacterized. NCBI's taxonomy places the organism in Eukaryota, Viridiplantae, Streptophyta, Magnoliopsida, Poales, Poaceae. The record is from RefSeq and is a predicted model, not a curated record. The transcript has 2 exons.
CGUCUCCGUACCCACAACCUCAAAGUUCAUCCCCUGCGCCUGCGGGCUGCGGCUCUCUCCCCCUUCUCCCUCCAUCCGCGUCGCUCGUUCAAUGCGUCUGCAGACAACCCCUUGGCUGUCUGAGCUCGCAGAUCUCAUCCAUCCCCAUCGCUCGGCCGUUCUUCUCUUUUUGUUUGGUUUGGUUUGAUGCGCGUUCAUUACCAAUUCCUGAGGAUGAUUUGCGUAACUCACGGUAAUUAGUCUCGGACGCUACACACCAUUCUCUGAUGUGUGGUUAUAUCCUGAUUGGUGGCGUCCUCCGUGCCAGCUUAUCCUGGAAACGCCACAUAUAUUCACGUGCCGUCCUCUCUGUUUCCUUUUCUUUUCUUUGUGUUAUAGACUUGUAGUUUUUUCAUGUUUGAUAGGAAGAUCUGAUGGAUUGUAAAUCAUUUAUUUUUUCAGUUUUGCUAAAGCACAUCUAGAUGUGCCAUAAGUAUUGCACAUCUAAGUUCUAUGUCAUUGAUCUUACAUUGA